GGUGAGAUGUCCGAGAGGCUUAAGGAGCACGCUUGGAAAGCGUGUAUACGAAAUACGUAUCAAGGGUUCGAAUCCCUUUCUCACCA
RNAcentral lists this transfer RNA (86 nucleotides) under Buchnera aphidicola (Melaphis rhois). RNAcentral describes it as "tRNA-Ser". It matches the Rfam family "tRNA". Rfam says of the family: Transfer RNA (tRNA) molecules are approximately 80 nucleotides in length. Their secondary structure includes four short double-helical elements and three loops (D, anti-codon, and T loops). Further hydrogen bonds mediate the characteristic L-shaped molecular structure. tRNAs have two regions of fundamental functional importance: the anti-codon, which is responsible for specific mRNA codon recognition, and the 3' end, to which the tRNAs corresponding amino acid is attached (by aminoacyl-tRNA synthetases). tRNAs cope with the degeneracy of the genetic code in two manners: having more than one tRNA (with a specific anti-codon) for a particular amino acid; and 'wobble' base-pairing, i.e. permitting non-standard base-pairing at the 3rd anti-codon position. The record is from RNAcentral. Lineage: Bacteria; Pseudomonadati; Pseudomonadota; Gammaproteobacteria; Enterobacterales; Erwiniaceae.